RNAcentral lists this ribosomal RNA (902 nucleotides) under Staphylococcus aureus. RNAcentral's name for it is "partial 23S ribosomal RNA". It matches the Rfam family "Bacterial large subunit ribosomal RNA", at positions 195 to 1095 of the family's 2925-position model. The record is from RNAcentral. Lineage: Bacteria; Bacillati; Bacillota; Bacilli; Caryophanales; Staphylococcaceae.
GAAACAUCUUAGUACCCGGAGGAAGAGAAAGAAAAUUCGAUUCCCUUAGUAGCGGCGAGCGAAACGGGAAGAGCCCAAACCAACAAGCUUGCUUGUUGGGGUUGUAGGACACUCUAUACGGAGUUACAAAGGACGACAUUAGACGAAUCAUCUGGAAAGAUGAAUCAAAGAAGGUAAUAAUCCUGUAGUCGAAAAUGUUGUCUCUCUUGAGUGGAUCCUGAGUACGACGGAGCACGUGAAAUUCCGUCGGAAUCUGGGAGGACCAUCUCCUAAGGCUAAAUACUCUCUAGUGACCGAUAGUGAACCAGUACCGUGAGGGAAAGGUGAAAAGCACCCCGGAAGGGGAGUGAAAUAGAACCUGAAACCGUGUGCUUACAAGUAGUCAGAGCCCGUUAAUGGGUGAUGGCGUGCCUUUUGUAGAAUGAACCGGCGAGUUACGAUUUGAUGCAAGGUUAAGCAGUAAAUGUGGAGCCGUAGCGAAAGCGAGUCUGAAUAGGGCGUUUAGUAUUUGGUCGUAGACCCGAAACCAGGUGAUCUACCCUUGGUCAGGUUGAAGUUCAGGUAACACUGAAUGGAGGACCGAACCGACUUACGUUGAAAAGUGAGCGGAUGAACUGAGGGUAGCGGAGAAAUUCCAAUCGAACCUGGAGAUAGCUGGUUCUCUCCGAAAUAGCUUUAGGGCUAGCCUCAAGUGAUGAUUAUUGGAGGUAGAGCACUGUUUGGACGAGGGGCCCCUCUCGGGUUACCGAAUUCAGACAAACUCCGAAUGCCAAUUAAUUUAACUUGGGAGUCAGAACAUGGGUGAUAAGGUCCGUGUUCGAAAGGGAAACAGCCCAGACCACCAGCUAAGGUCCCAAAAUAUAUGUUAAGUGGAAAAGGAUGUGGCGUUGCCCAGACAACUA